GAUGAACGCUAUCUACAGGCUUAACACAUGCAAGUCGAGGGGCAGCAUGGUCUUAGCUUGCUAAGGCCGAUGGCGACCGGCGCACGGGUGAGUAACACGUAUCCAACCUGCCGUCUACUCUUGGACAGCCUUCUGAAAGGAAGAUUAAUACAAGAUGGCAUCAUGAGUCCGCAUGUUCACAUGAUUAAAGGUAUUCCGGUAGACGAUGGGGAUGCGUUCCAUUAGAUAGUAGGCGGGGUAACGGCCCACCUAGUCUUCGAUGGAUAGGGGUUCUGAGAGGAAGGUCCCCCACAUUGGAACUGAGACACGGUCCAAACUCCUACGGGAGGCAGCAGUGAGGAAUAUUGGUCAAUGGGCGAGAGCCUGAACCAGCCAAGUAGCGUGAAGGAUGACUGCCCUAUGGGUUGUAAACUUCUUUUAUAAAGGAAUAAAGUCGGGUAUGGAUACCCGUUUGCAUGUACUUUAUGAAUAAGGAUCGGCUAACUCCGUGCCAGCAGCCGCGGUAAUACGGAGGAUCCGAGCGUUAUCCGGAUUUAUUGGGUUUAAAGGGAGCGUAGAUGGAUGUUUAAGUCAGUUGUGAAAGUUUGCGGCUCAACCGUAAAAUUGCAGUUGAUACUGGAUAUCUUGAGUGCAGUUGAGGCAGGCGGAAUUCGUAGUGUAGCGGUGAAAUGCUUAGAUAUCACGAAGAACUCCGAUUGCGAAGGCAGCCUGCUAAGCUGCAACUGACAUUGAGGCUCGAAAGUGUGGGUAUCAAACAGGAUUAGAUACCCUGGUAGUCCACACGGUAAACGAUGAAUACUCGCUGUUUGCGAUAUACUGCAAGCGGCCAAGCGAAAGCGUUAAGUAUUCCACCUGGGGAGUACGCCGGCAACGGUGAAACUCAAAGGAAUUGACGGGGGCCCGCACAAGCGGAGGAACAUGUGGUUUAAUUCGAUGAUACGCGAGGAACCUUACCCGGGCUUAAAUUGCAGAUGAAUUACGGUGAAAGCCGUAAGCCGCAAGGCAUCUGUGAAGGUGCUGCAUGGUUGUCGUCAGCUCGUGCCGUGAGGUGUCGGCUUAAGUGCCAUAACGAGCGCAACCCUUGUUGUCAGUUACUAACAGGUUCCGCUGAGGACUCUGACAAGACUGCCAUCGUAAGAUGUGAGGAAGGUGGGGAUGACGUCAAAUCAGCACGGCCCUUACGUCCGGGGCUACACACGUGUUACAAUGGGGGGUACAGAGGGCCGCUACCACGCGAGUGGAUGCCAAUCCCCAAAACCUCUCUCAGUUCGGACUGGAGUCUGCAACCCGACUCCACGAAGCUGGAUUCGCUAGUAAUCGCGCAUCAGCCACGGCGCGGUGAAUACGUUCCCGGGCCUUGUACACACCGCCCGUCAAGCCAUGGGAGCCGGGGGUACCUGAAGUGCGUAACCGCGAGGAGCGCCCUAGGGUAAAACUGGUGACUGGGGCUAAGUCGU
RNAcentral lists this ribosomal RNA (1457 nucleotides) under uncultured organism. RNAcentral describes it as "SSU rRNA". It matches the Rfam family "Bacterial small subunit ribosomal RNA". The record is from RNAcentral.